RNAcentral lists this ribosomal RNA (442 nucleotides) under Streptococcus sp. oral taxon 064. RNAcentral's name for it is "bacterial SSU rRNA". It matches the Rfam family "Bacterial small subunit ribosomal RNA", at positions 28 to 463 of the family's 1533-position model. The record is from RNAcentral. Lineage: Bacteria; Bacillati; Bacillota; Bacilli; Lactobacillales; Streptococcaceae.
GACGAACGCGGCGGCGUGCCUAAUACAUGCAAGUAGAACGCUGAAGGAGGAGCUUGCUCUUCUAGAUGAGUUGCGAACGGGUGAGUAACGCGCAGGUAACCUGCCUGGUAGCGGGGGAUAACUAUUGGAAACGAUAGCUAAUACCGCAUAACAGUAGAUGUUGCAUGACAUUUGCUUAAAAGGUGCAAUUGCAUCACUACCAGAUGGACCUGCGUUGUAUUAGCUAGUUGGUGGGGUAACGGCUCACCAAGGCGACGAUACAUAGCCGACCUGAGAGGGUGAUCGGCCACACUGGGACUGAGACACGGCCCAGACUCCUACGGGAGGCAGCAGUAGGGAAUCUUCGGCAAUGGACGGAAGUCUGACCGAGCAACGCCGCGUGAGUGAAGAAGGUUUUCGGAUCGUAAAGCUCUGUUGUAAGAGAAGAAACGAGUGUGAGAAG